Molecule: non-coding RNA, 73 nt
Organism: Chiloscyllium plagiosum (whitespotted bambooshark)
Lineage: Eukaryota; Metazoa; Chordata; Chondrichthyes; Orectolobiformes; Hemiscylliidae
Source: the annotation of a RefSeq genome assembly
GCUGAAAUAGUUCAGUUGGGAGACCAUUAGAUUGAAGAUCUAAAUGUCCCCAUUUCAAUCCUGGGUUUCAGCA